GACGAACGCUGGCGGCGUGCCUAAUACAUGCAAGUCGAACGAGAGCGACCGGUGCUUGCACUGGUCAAUCUAGUGGCGAACGGGUGAGUAACACGUGGGUAACCUGCCCAUCAGAGGGGGAUAACAUCCGGAAACGGAUGCUAAAACCGCAUAGGUCUUCGAGCCGCAUGGCUUGAAGAGGAAAAGAGGCGCAAGCUUCUGCUGAUGGGUGGACCCGCGGUGCAUUAGCUAGUUGGUGAGGUAACGGCUCACCAAGGCCGUGAUGCAUAGCCGACCUGAGAGGGUGAUCGGCCACAUUGGGACUGAGACACGGCCCAAACUCCUACGGGAGGCAGCAGUAGGGAAUCUUCCGCAAUGGACGCAAGUCUGACGGAGCAACGCCGCGUGAGUGAAGAAGGUUUUCGGAUCGUAAAACUCUGUUGUUAGAGAAGAACAAGUGCUAGAGUAACUGUUAGCGCCUUGACGGUAUCUAACCAGAAAGCCACGGCUAACUACGUG
Molecule: ribosomal RNA, 498 nt
Filed under: uncultured bacterium
Lineage: Bacteria
Description: partial 16S ribosomal RNA
Rfam family: Bacterial small subunit ribosomal RNA
Source: RNAcentral